RNAcentral lists this ribosomal RNA (468 nucleotides) under uncultured bacterium. RNAcentral describes it as "partial 16S ribosomal RNA". It matches the Rfam family "Bacterial small subunit ribosomal RNA", at positions 28 to 507 of the family's 1533-position model. The record is from RNAcentral.
GACGAACGCUGGCGGCGUGCUUAACACAUGCAAGUCGAACGGAAAGGCCCUGCUUUUGUGGGGUGCUCGAGUGGCGAACGGGUGCGUAACACGUGAGUAACCUGCCCUUGACUUUGGGAUAACUUCAGGAAACUGGGGCUAAUACCGGAUAGGAGCUCCUGCUGCAUGGUGGGGGUUGGUAAGUUUCGGCGGUUGGGGAUGGACUCGCGGCUUAUCAGCUUGUUGGUGGGGUAGUGGCUUACCAAGGCUUUGACGGGUAGCCGGCCUGAGAGGGUGACCGGCCACAUUGGGACUGAGAUACGGCCCAGACUCCUACGGGAGGCAGCAGGGGGGAAUAUUGCACAAUGGGCGGAAGCCUGAUGCAGCAACGCCGCGUGCGGGAUGACGGCCUUCGGGUUGUAAACCGCUUUCGCCUGUGACGAAGCGUGAGUGACGGUAAUGGGUAAAGAAGCACCGGCUAACUACGUG